UACGUAGGGUGCAAGCGUUAAUCGGAAUUACUGGGCGUAAAGCGUGCGCAGGCGGUUUUGUAAGACUGUCGUGAAAUCCCCGGGCUUAACCUGGGAAUUGCGAUGGUGACUGCAAGGCUAGAGUUUGGCAGAGGGGGGUAGAAUUCCACGUGUAGCAGUGAAAUGCGUAGAGAUGUGGAGGAACACCGAUGGCGAAGGCAGCCCCCUGGGUCAAGAUUGACGCUCAUGCACGAAAGCGUGGGGAGCAAACAGG
RNAcentral lists this ribosomal RNA (253 nucleotides) under uncultured bacterium. RNAcentral describes it as "partial 16S ribosomal RNA". It matches the Rfam family "Bacterial small subunit ribosomal RNA", at positions 524 to 776 of the family's 1533-position model. The record is from RNAcentral.